This 5974-nucleotide unclassified non-coding RNA is filed under the name Anthonomus grandis grandis. RNAcentral describes it as "roquin-1". The record is from RNAcentral. Lineage: Eukaryota; Metazoa; Arthropoda; Insecta; Coleoptera; Curculionidae.
CACUGUUAGUUCCGUUGACGUUGACACAUGUCCUGUGACGUGACGUUGGCAUGACGUGAUCCAAAAUUCCAGAAAAACGAUUUCACAACAAAAAUAUUGCCCGUUAUUAGUCAUUCAUGAUGUGAAAAACGUUAGAAAACGCAAAGUUCAAAAAUGCCAAUACAGGCCCCACAAUGGACGGAGUUUCUCUCCUGUCCCGUUUGUUGUAACGCGUUCGAUGACAAACUGCGUAGCCCCAUCAGUUUGGGGUGCGGGCACACCGUGUGCAGGGGCUGCCUGUCCAAUUUGCACCGGAAACAGUGUCCUUUCGAUCAAACGCUCAUCACUAUCGAUAUUGAAAACUUACCAGUGAACACUGCCUUACUGCAACUGGUGGGGCUCAAUGCCAAACCGGACAGUAUCGCAGACACUAACGUAAUACCCAGGGAAGCCCUUCCUGAUUAUAUUAAAUGUAAAACUCAUGUAGAAGAACUGGCACUUUAUUUGAAACCACAUCAGAGUGGCAGCGGGAGCAUUUUAUCCAGACCUAUGCAAAGGAAAUUAGUCACUUUAAUCAAUUGUCAGUUGGUGGAGGAUGAGGGAAGAACUAGGGCAAUGAGGGCCGCUCGCUCUUUAGGCGAACGCACUGUAACCGAAUUGAUUUUGCAACAUCAGAACCCACAGCAGUUAUCGGCUAAUUUAUGGGCCGCUGUGAGGGCCAGAGGAUGUCAGUUUUUAGGACCUGCCAUGCAAGAAGAAGUACUAAAACUAGUACUAUUGGCUCUGGAGGACGGUUCGGCCCUCUCCAGAAAAGUGUUGGUCAUGUUCGUGGUCCAGAGGCUAGAACCUCAUUUCCCCCAAGCCUCGAAAACUAGCAUAGGUCACGUUGUACAACUCCUUUAUAGGGCGUCUUGCUUCAAAGUCUCGAAACGAGAGGCCGACUCCUCGCUGAUGCAACUCAAAGAGGAAUUUCGCACUUACGACGCGUUACGCAGAGAACACGACGCGCAGAUCGUCCAAAUAGCGACGGAGGCCGGUCUUCGGAUCGCUCCCGACCAAUGGAGCGCCCUACUUUACGGAGAUACUGCGCACAAGUCCCAUAUGCAAUCGAUCAUCGAUAAAUUGCAGACUCCCCAGUCGUUUGCGCAGUCGGUGCAGGAGUUGGUGAUCGCGUUACAGCGCACAGGGGAUCCCGGCAAGUUGUCGGUCCUGCGGGAUCCCUUGGAAUUGUUGGCGGGGAUCGAUCCCAGUCCCGAGUCCAGCCCGCCCACUUGGAGGGAGUGCACGGAGUGUUUGGAGGCUGUGAAGCAAGUGGUCACAGGUUUGGUCGAGUUCAUUCAGCAGCACGGCAGCAGACGGGUGCAAGACAACUCGCACUCGCAACACGCCAAAUACAAAAUAAGCAUGUGCAGGGAUUUGACUUUGAGGGGCAGCUGCCCCCGCGGCACCAACUGCACCUUCGCCCACUCGAACGAGGAACUGGAAAAGUACCGAGCGAAAAAUCGGAAAAACUGCAACAGAAACAAUAAGCAGGAUCAGCACCGCAUCGAGUCCCCCGUGAUUAUCGAUAAAAUCGUGCCUGCCGCACCUCUACCUUCCGAAGAGUUCGUCCCGAUUCCCGUUAACAUCCCCUUCAAUCCCCCGUAUAAUCCUUCGUACGUACAAAAUCAGCAACAAUUCCCCACGCCACCUCCGGUAUUCCCUGGUUUCGCCUCUCAAGAAGUGAUGACUUCCAACGUUGUCUUAGCCAACGGGGCUCAGGUUUAUCCCGCCAUGCCCCCCCAACCGGAAUUUGGGCCUCUUCAGCAAGAAUCCGUAAGGAGAACCGGGUGGGAUCACAUGGUGAGUUGUCAGUGGCCCGCCAGCUCGCCCGAUUUAAGCACCGUUCGCUUUCAGAUCAUCAAACACCAAAACGUUUCGCCUCAGAAGCCUUCGAGGACUCAAACGAAAUCGUUGGCCGAGUUGCAUCAACUGAAACGGGAGGUGCUCACCCAACUGGAAAAGGUGGUGGGCAAAAGUGCCGCCACCGAAAUCUCCAAUACCGCGUGCACUUUGGCUCGUCAAGAGUCCCUACACGACCCGGACAGUCCCUCGUCCCCGUACAAUUUUCUGUCCGGACAAAUCACCUCGGGGCCGACUUUCGUACGGUCCGAUUCCAUAUUGGCCGCAGACGACGAUUACGUGCCGUACGAUUGUCCGGCCAUCAGUAAAUACGGCCCGAUAUCCAGGAUGCAAAAGAGCAUCCAGGAUCCGCAUAAUAACGGGGUACCGUCCGGGUUCAGGGACAACGGAAACGGAUUGGGCAGGAGACCUUUGGGCUCCGGAAGUCCCGUGACUUCGUGGUUUAUUAACAACAACUACCAUCAUCAUCAUCAGGGUCCCUCGGGACAUGCCAUAGUGGUGCCGUCAGGGGCGGCCGGGAUCGGUGACGGCUACGUCACUUACGCAGCCUCUCAUCCGAUGAUGUACCACUCGCGACUGCAAGAUCCCUCUGCGAAUCCCACGAAAGAUUUACUGGCAGAGUCGCAGAGGGUCCAGAUUCAGCUCCGGAAUCUGGAGAAGCAAUUGAAUAACUUGAAGUUGGCCUCGCAGGGGGUCACGUCCCUCAGCGAGAGCGAGAGGCUCACCAAGGAACUGCAGCUGAUCGAGCAAGGGAUCCAGGAGAAGCAGAAGGAGGCUUGUUUGAACAAAAUCGUCCACUCUUUAACGCAGGCGAACAGGAACGGGCAUUAUCAGCCGAAACCUGUAGAUGACGCUAGUUACGAGCAGGAUAUUGCUAACGAUAUUCGUGAGUUGGAGCGCAGGCUGCAGGAGGAGCUGGAGGAGUGGAGCGGCGAGGAUUCUCCCAAGUAAACCCCUUCCUCGGAGGGAGGAAGGUGGAGGAUAAAACUAUAUUUUUUGACCACUACUUAGAACCAGAAAACUCCUAUUUUUUACCAAAAAAAACUCAAGAAAAAAGAAAAAAAAACUACCAAAACAAUGUGAUGAAUAAUUUUUUCGUUUUUCUCUUUGAAUAAUUUUUUAGUUGAAUUUCGUUGACGUGAACGAAACCCGACGGUGAGAUCGGGUUACGAUAUUUUUUUAAAAAUGAAACUAGGUCGGUCGGCACGGUACUUUAUUCAUAAUAAGGGCGCCGGCCGCGCUGAUGCAGGGAUGAAGUUCAUAAUUUUCGUGAAUUCGGCAAUACGCGUUAUUCCAGUUUUAUGGGAACACAUAUUCUUUCUGGGGGGUAAUCCAGAGGGGGGACAAAGGCGAGGUUUUCAAUUUGUCAGCAGUGUAUUUAAUUUUAAUUUGCAAUACACUGCUCGCACAAAAUAACGUCAAGAUCUUUUAGGACAGCUGUAUAUUUUUUGCAAUUUACCAUAACACUAUGGAAAUUUUUUAAAAAUAGUGAGUCCUUGUUAGAUACUAUACAUUUCUCUUAAACACAUUUACCUGUGAGCAGUGUACUAAAUUUCUUAUUCUCUAUUUUGGGGAAUUUUUUUUUUUUUGCACAGGUAGUGUAUUUUUUUCGCCACAUUUAUUUAUUUCUUCGUUUUGUAAAUACACAUUUCUUUAAUCUUAAUUAAAUAGUUCAGGUGUGAAUUUUUAAACUUGCGAAUAAUGUUUUAUUCACGUCAGCAGUGUAGGGUCUACCAGUCUAGAAGUCUACCAGUGUAGGGCAGUGUAUAUAUGUCUGUAAGCAGUGUAGGAAAUUUUGUAUACCGCAGUGUAUUUUUUCGCCACGUCAUUUAUUAUAUUAUCUCCUUGUUUAAUUUGUCCUAACCGUUGAAGGAAAUACGAGUUAUGGUCUAUAGGUCAUUAUUUUUAUAUUUCAUGGUGUGAGCAGUGUACAAAAAAAAAUUAUAUACUUCUCACAAAAAAUCAGAUAAUUUUUGAGCACAGGAAUAAUGAUGUUUUCAUUACAUCAGCGUCUACCUUCUUUAGUGUACUGUAUAUAUUUUUUUGCACGUCAUUUAAUAUUUAUUUUUUUAAUCUGCACUAAUAGACUGAUGGUCUACGUGUCAUUUUUUAAACAUUUCAAAGUAUGAGCAGUGUAUAAAAAAUUACAGACUGCUCACACGAAAAAGGUAGUUUUUGAGCCUGACAAUAAUGUUUUCGUUACGUCAGCAUCUAUCUUUUUCAGGGCAGUGUAUCUUUUACCUCUUCAUUUAAUAAUUCUUUUAAUUUGUCACUAUAUUUCCUAGUGUGAGCGGUGUACAAAAAAAUUAUACACUGCUCACACAAAAUCAGAUUGAAUCUUUGAUUAUUUAUUUUUUAAUUUGACUUAAGGUGUAUAUUAUUUAUUCUGCCCUAACACUUCAACGAAGUAUGACUGACGGCCUUUACGUGAUGAUUUUUUUUACUACUGUACAUUUCAUUAUUUUAAAUUAAAUAUUUCAAGAUGUGAGUAGUGUACAAAAAAUACACUGCUCACCUGAAAUUUUUUGAACUCGAAAAUAAUUUUCUCUUCACGUCAGUCAUCUACCUUCUUUAGGACAGUGUAUCUUUUGCCACUUUAUUCAUUAUUUAUUCCUUUCUUUUCACUUCAAGAAAAUAAGAACUAUGGACGGCAAAUGCAUUAAACAGUUAACGUAUGAGCAGUGUACAGACAUUUGCAUACACUGCUCACACAAAAUCUGAUCGAAUAUUUCAUUAUUUAUUUUUAAAUGCUUGUAUUUUAUUUAUUUAUUUUUUAAUUUACCAUACCACUGGAAAUUAAAAAAAAAAUGACUAGUGAGUCCUUGUUAGAUACUAUACAUUUCUCUUAAACACAUUUACCUGUGAGCAGUGUACUAAAUUUCGUAUUCCCUGUUUUGGGGAAUUCUUUUUUUUUUGCACAGGCAGUGUAUUUUUUUCGCCACGUCAUUUAUUAUAUUAUCUCCUUGUUUAAUUUGUCCUAACCGUUAAAGGAAAUACGAGUUAUGGUCUAUAGGUCAUUAUUUUUAUAUUUCAUGGUGUGAGCAGUGUACAAAAAAAAUUAUAUACUUCUCACAAAAAAUCAGAUAAUUUUUGAGCACAGGAAUAAUGAUGUUUUCAUUACAUCAGCGUCUACCCUCUUUAGUCUACUGUAUAUAUUUUGUUGCACGUCAUUUAAUAUUUAUUUUUUUUUAAUCUGCACUAAUAGACUGAUGAUCUACGUGUAAUUUUUUAAAUAUUUCAAAUUAUGAGCAGUGUAUAAAAAAUUACAGACUGCUCACACGAAAACAGGUAGUUUUUGAGCCUGACUGAAAUAAUGUUUUCGUUACGUCAGCAUCUACCUUUUUCAGGGUAGUGUAUCUUUUACCACUUCAUUUAAUAAUUCUUUUAAUUUGUCGGCCUUUACGUGAUGAUUUUUGGUACUAGUGUACAUUUCAUUAUUUUAAAUUAUUAAAUAUUUCAAGAUGUGAGUAGUGUACAAAAAAUACACUGCUCACCUGAAAUUUUUUGAACUCGAAAAUAAUUUUCUCUUCACGUCAGUCAUCUACCUUCUUUAGGACAGUGUAUAUAUCUUUUGCCAUCUUAUUCAUUAUUUCUUCCUUUCUUUUCACUUAACUUCUUUCACUUUCACGGCAAAUGCAUUAAACAGUUAACGUAUGAGCAGUGUACAGACAUUUGCAUACACUGCUCACACAAAACAUUUAAUUUUUUUUUAAUUAAAAAUAAAAACCGCCCUCGCCCCCCUUAAACGAACCGACCCCCCUUAAACGGUUUUUCUUCAAAAAAAAAAAAACAAAAUCGAAAAUGUCGUCAUCUCUCUUAAAAGUAAUCAUGCUGUGUGUGAUCGGUAUAUAAUGUUAUAUAACGCUAUAUAUACAGGGUGGUCCCGUGCGAAAACCAUCCGACGAUUUUAUGGGGAGGCCACCCUGUAUAUUAUUUAUAAUAUUAUUAAUAAUAAUAAUAAUAACUAUGUUUUGUUUAUUUUUUCCUUUGCGGCAUUUGUUUUCAAAAUGUCGCCACGCUAGAACGAUUAAUUAGGAAAAGUGGUCUAUAUACAAUUAUAUAUUAUACAUAUAUAUAUUUAUUUAUAUAUUUA